UGCAGUCGACGGAAAGGCCCUGCUUUUGUGGGGUGCUCGAGUGGCGAACGGGUGAGUAACACGUGAGUAACCUGCCCUUGACUUUGGGAUAACUUCAGGAAACUGGGGCUAAUACCGGAUAGGAGCUCCUGCUGCAUGGUGGGGGUUGGAAAGUUUCGGCGGUUGGGGAUGGACUCGCGGCUUAUCAGCUUGUUGGUGGGGUAGUGGCUUACCAAGGCUUUGACGGGUAGCCGGCCUGAGAGGGUGACCGGCCACAUUGGGACUGAGAUACGGCCCAGACUCCUACGGGAGGCAGCAGUGGGGAAUAUUGCACAAUGGGCGGAAGCCUGAUGCAGCAACGCCGCGUGCGGGAUGACGGCCUUCGGGUUGUAAACCGCUUUCGCCUGUGACGAAGCGUGAGUGACGGUAAUGGGUAAAGAAGCACCGGCUAACUACGUGCCAGCAGCCGCGGUGAUACGUAGGGUGCGAGCGUUGUCCGGAUUUAUUGGGCGUAAAGGGCUCGUAGGUGGUUGAUCGCGUCGGAAGUGUAAUCUUGGGGCUUAACCCUGAGCGUGCUUUCGAUACGGGUUGACUUGAGGAAGGUAGGGGAGAAUGGAAUUCCUGGUGGAGCGGUGGAAUGCGCAGAUAUCAGGAGGAACACCAGUGGCGAAGGCGGUUCUCUGGGCCUUUCCUGACGCUGAGGAGCGAAAGCGUGGGGAGCGAACAGGCUUAGAUACCCUGGUAGUCCACGCUGUAAACGGUGGGUACUAGGUGUGGGGGUCCAUUCCACGGGUUCCGUGCCGUAGCUAACGCUUUAAGUACCCCGCCUGGGGAGUACGGCCGCAAGGCUAAAACUCAAAAGAAAUUGAC
This 849-nucleotide ribosomal RNA is filed under the name uncultured bacterium. RNAcentral describes it as "bacterial SSU rRNA". It matches the Rfam family "Bacterial small subunit ribosomal RNA", at positions 56 to 914 of the family's 1533-position model. The record is from RNAcentral.